AGUCUUUCUCUGAAGUCAAAAACUGUUCUAGAUUUCAAUAUCCAAUCUGUAAAAACAGAUAUAUAAAUCAAAAUUUCCAGCAAACAACGGGAAUUUACAUUAAUAAAGAUUCACAAUAAUUCUCUUCGUCGCUUGAAUCUGUACCUCCAAUAAUCAAACAAUGAAGCACGUGUUUUUUAUUUUGGGUCUCUUAGUGAUCUUCCAUGGCGCUGCUGCAUUUGGUCAUUUCAAUAGUGUAGUUGGUAGUUCAGCUGGUGCUAUUGGAGAACAACCUUUAUCAAAGAUUGCAAUCCAUAAAACUAAACUUGCUCUUCGGGAUUCUGCUUCCAUUAAAGCCACCCCUCUUCUUCUUGGCAUAAAAGUAAGUAAAUUUCUGCUAUUCACAUGGGUUUCAUCUCACAUAAUCUCUCUGUUCUUUUGCGUUUGCCAAUUAAGUUGUGGUUUUUGUUUUUCUCAUUUUGUGUGUUGGCUCUUUGCUUUUUUAAAAGUUUCAGAAUUGUAAACUAGUAUCUGUUGGACUGUGUGGCCAUUAAUCUUGCUGUAUUGACAUAAUAUUCCUACACAUGUAAAGGAUCUUUUAGAGGCGGUUUUUGGGUGCAAGUGAGUUGUGAAGAAAAUUUGCUACUAUAAUUCUACUUGUAAUUUGUUUAUUUUCUUGUUUCAUUAGAAAGUAGGGAUUAGGAUUUAAUCCAUAAUAGGAUCAUGAUUUCCUUCCUAAGUGCAUUACUAAUUGUGUUUAGUUAAAAUUCGAAAAUCAACUAUGCAAUUUUUUUGUUAAAAGGGAACUAAAAGUUCGCCCUGAGUUUUUGACUUCAAGCGGCCCCAUUCCUGUAAAAGCGAUUUGUUAGUGAGUUAAUAGAAAAGCUAUUUCUUUCUUAAUGAUUUUGCAUAAAAAUAGAGGCCAAUCCUUACUCCUUCAGGUCUAUGGGGGAAAUGAUGUUUUUGUUUAUGAUUUGGUAACAGGGCGAGGACACUGAAUGGGUCGAUGUGGAUUUUGAAAAUGACAAACCUGGUGAUGAUGAUUGGAUUGGAGUUUUUUCUCCAGCAAAAUUCAAGUAAGCUCCAGUUGUAGAUUUAUUUUAGCAUUCUGGCUAUUUCUAGUUGGUCUGUGUUAUCAAAGAUUAUGCAUUGAAAUUUUGAAACUCUAUGCAUUUUUCUUGUAUCAAUGAUGAACAAAUGUCGGGAAUUGUCAGCGCAUCAAAUUGUUACGAUGAAAAUAACAGAAAAGAUCAAGCUCCAUAUAUAUGCUCAUCCCCUAUAAAGGUGUGUGCACAACUAGUUUUAAUAUUAAGAAUCAGAAAAUGUGAGAUUUUUUUGCCUUUACUAACGGAUGUCAAAUUGCAUGUAUAUAAUCAUUGCAGUACAAAUUUGCAAAUUUCUCCGAGUCCCAUUAUAUGAAGACUGGGAAAGCUUCUUUAAAGUUCCAGUUAAUCAAUCAGCGUGAAGAUUUCUCCUUUGCAUUGUUUGCAGGUGGAUUAUCAAAUGUAAGUGAAGUCACUUUUUUCUGUUAAAUCUUGUGAUUUUUUCACUUUCUGAAUAUAACUUGCCACUGUAUCCUUCUGGUAGUUUACAUCUAUUUCUAGAUCUUUAUAAAUUUGCGUUUGGAAAUAAUUAGUUUGGAACUGAUGUAAACUUAAGAAAAUUACAUAUCAAAUUGGUUUCUAUAUAUAUUGUUUGAAUAUCUGUGAAAAUUUCUGUUAUUCUAAAAAUGCAUCAGUAACUUUUCUUUAAAAUGAUAAUCAUAGUUCAAAUUCAUUGAAAUCUUUAAAUCUUCAGAUAACUUACCCAUAUUUAAAAUUCACAAUAAUAUAAAAACAGUAUUGAAAUGCUGGUUGCUUGGGCUAUCAUUUACCUCACUCUCGGUGGACUAAAAUUAUCUUACGUUCUUUUUGUAUUCCAUGCUGGUUCAUCUUCUUAUCAUUAUUUCAAUGUUGUUUGUUUGUAAGUAUUUUGAUAGCACUCUCACAUGAACUAAAGCCAUAGCAUUCCAUUGCAGCCUAAACUUGUAGCAGUAUCAAAUUCCAUAGCUUUUGCAAAUCCUAAAGCACCACUUUAUCCUCGCCUUGCUCAAGGGAAAUCUUGGGAUGAAGUAAGUUAUCUUGAUGUUUGCCAAUAUUUAUUUUUUAAUGGUUUAUGUCAUCAUGUAGCUAAAAUUGAACUUGGACAUGAAUCUUUGUCCGUUACCUUAUGGAAGUUACAUUUGCCUCUACCUUAAAAAAUUUGGAUCGGUCAACUAGAUACUUUUAGCCCUCAUUUUAUUGCAUUGUUCUCUUUCGUUCACUGAGUUUAGUAAGCAGUAUUAAAUCAUACUGGACAGUAUGACCAACACAAUUUCAAAUUCUUUUUCUUAUUUAAUAUUGUUCAGUAUUGUCUAAUCUACCUUACCAAACUUGCCAUUAAUGUCUUAAUAGAAUUUACUCUCCUGCAAAGUGAACUAUUAGAUUUCUACUUCUUCAUCUGAAUUGCACUUUGCAGAUUACAGUAACAUGGACAAGUGGCUAUAAUAUAGAUGAAGCCAUUCCUUUUGUGGAAUGGGGUUGGAAGGGUCAAAAACAAAAGCGCUCACCAGCGGGAACAUUAACAUUUGAGCGUAAAAGCAUGUGUGGUAUGAUUUACUUUUUAUGACCACAUUCUUGCUAAGAUAUGCUGAUGUGCUAUAUAGUCAAGUUUUCUGUCUCCAAUGAUUGUUGGGGGUGUUGGAAGAAUAAGCAUUCUAGAUUAUAUAUGCAAGUUUUCUUUCUCGAAGAUGACCUUGUAAUUAGCUAAAGGUAGAUGGAGUGAGUUAGCUCAUGAGGCAUAAUUUAACUACCCCAAAGUUUGGACUUUUGAAGGUAUUUUUGGUUGCUUGACUGAUGAUACUUGUGAAUAAUUUUCUUCUUCGGAUUUUGUUACGUCUGGAAGUUUUGCUUUUUGGACAGGAAAACCCCUCUUUCGUGUAGCUAAAAAUCUUGUUUUUAGUAUAUUUUGAUUAAAGUCAAUGAAAUGUGUAAUUGAAAAGUUUAUGAAAUGUGUGUUGAAAAUUAAUUGUUGACUUUAACUAAGUUUUACUUUAACUAAGUUUUUAUCAACUAUUUAAGCCACACCAAACAGGGACUAAAUCACUAACAAUCUUAACUCCAAAACCUUUUCUGAAUAGUACAAGCGUUUGGGUUGCAAUGUAAAAUAUACUCAAAAUUGGAAUGAAUAGGCAAUUUAAUUUCAUACUGGAGCUGUAUGUCCAAUGUUUUAUUAAGAUUUAAUAAAUUAAAGAAUCAUGGUCUUUUUUUUCUUACCUAUGUUUUCUCUCUCAAUCCACUGAUGUCUUGUCCCUUGGUUUCAAUUUAAAGAGCAAAUGUUAAUCAAAUCUAUCAGGUGGUCUCUUUUUUAGGAUACCUAUGGAUUUUAGUAAACAUAAAACAAUGUGAUGACUGAAAUGCAUCUGAUAAGAAUACUCAAAUUGGUCUGUAGGUUCACCGGCACGUACAGUUGGCUGGCGUGACCCUGGUUUCAUACAUACUAGUUUCUUAAAGGAUUUGUGGCCAAAUACUGUGUAAGUCUCCAUAGCAUCUGUGUUUUAUAAGAAAAAAAUUCUGGCAGGCAUCAAUAAUAUAGUUAUUCUCUACUGUUGCUGCAAUUCCAGAUAUACUUACAAAUUGGGUCACCUAUUAAGAAAUGGAUCCUACAUUUGGAGCAAGAUGUAUUCGUUCAGAUCGUCCCCAUAUCCAGGACAAGACUCACUGCAACGAGUUAUAAUAUUUGGUGACAUGGGGAAGGUAAUAUUGAUCAUUAAUUUUGUAAUAAGUAUAUCCUUUCUUUUCUCUGUCCCUACUAGAAAUACUGAAAGAAGAUAGAAAGACUUUACCCCAUUCAAAUAAUCUGAAAAGAUUCGAGUCAAAUGAAGAGAUUAUGGAGCUUCUUGUGAGAAAUAAUGUUUAACUAACUAAGGGCAUCUUCAGCUGUUGUGAUGAUUAUGAACUAAAAUAGUGUGUCUUUGCCAUCUAGUGCUGAGGUGUGUUGAAAGUCCUUGCCAAAUUAUUUUCCGGUGCUCAAACCGUUAACGUAGUUCACUUAUUUUAUGUAUAUAAGUUAUUUGACUGUGUUUAAUGCAUUUAACAUGAGAUACUAUGACUUUCAGGCAGAACGUGACGGUUCAAAUGAAUAUAGCAAUUAUCAGCCCGGCUCUCUGAAUACCACCGAUCAACUCAUCCGGGAUGUAAAGAACAUUGACAUAGUUUUCCAUAUAGGAGACAUCACAUAUUCAAAUGGCUAUAUCUCACAAUGGGACCAAUUCACGGCACAGGUGGAACCCAUAGCAUCAACUGUGCCUUAUAUGAUUGCAAGGUGUGUUCAUAUAUCAUGUGAUAAUGCAUUUCGUAUUUUUUGAUAUAACUUUUUAUCAUGGCCAAAUUUUUACAAUGUUACAUAUCAACUUGUUCCACAGUGGCAAUCAUGAGCGUGAUUGGCCUGGGACAGGAUCCUUUUAUGACACUCCAGACUCUGGUGGUGAAUGUGGUGUGCUAGCAGAGACUAUGUUCUACGUUCCUGCAGAGAAUAGAGCCAAGUUUUGGUGACUGAUUUAUUCUUUUCUAAAGUAAAAAGUUGGAAAGCUGAUUUUUAUCUUCUGAGCCCUGUUUUAUCUUGAUCAUAAUAAUUUGACUCUUCUUGUAUGUAAAGAAAUGCUAGCCAUAGGAGCUACAUCUACUUAUUGUUGCAGUUUCAGAUUUAUAAUACUUCGCCUCAGUAUUUGAGCUACAUCUACUUUUUGCAUAGAUUUUUCACUAUAACAAAGGAGGAGAUAAUAAGAUUUGUCAUACACCUCUUAGUUUUGUCCACCCAAAAAUGCUCUCUCCCCAUCUUCUUCUUAAAAUACUUUUUGAUAUGAAUAUUAGGGAGAACUAAUCAGACCACCCAAUAUACUGUUGGAUAAAGAGUUAACCACGAUGUCUUUGCUCGGAAAACCCUUAGCAGGGAAAAUUUACAAUGUAGUUAGGCUCCACAGUAUAUCAAGAAAAGUAGCUUGCUAAAUGGAUUUAAAUAUUUUCUUCUAAGGCUAUGGAGUUCCUUUUUUAGUAGUAAAACUUUACAUAGUUUGUUAUUGGGACUGUGUCUUCUAUGUAAAUUGAAAAAUGACAUAUAUACUCGUUCACAGGUACUCAACAGAUUAUGGUAUGUUUCACUUCUGCAUAGCAGAUACUGAGCAUGAUUGGAGAGAGGGAUCCGAGCAGUACAAGUUUAUUGAAGGUUGCCUUGCAUCAGCAGAUAGGCGAAAACAGCCUUGGUUAAUCUUUGCUGCUCAUAGGGUCCUUGGAUAUUCUUCUAAUAAAUGGUAUGGAUUAGAAGGCUCAUUUGAAGAGCCAAUGGGAAGGGAAAGCUUGCAAAAGCUCUGGCAAAAGUACAAGGUUGACAUUGCGUUCUUUGGCCAUGUCCACAAUUAUGAAAGAACUUGCCCAAUUUACCAGGUAAACCUCUCUGGCAUGUUUGAAAUGUUGCUGUUCUACUUGCUGGAUAGGAUUAGUGAAGAAAAAUAAGUUGAAAUGUUGCUGUUCUACAUGCUCUAGACUAUUUUUCCUUGUUAAUUUUGCAUAAAAUAUCUUCAAGUGACUAGAUUAACUUUUAUGGACCGAUUUCUUGCACUUUUCCCACUUGAAACUUUUUUAAUUUUUUUCUGCAGAAUCAAUGCGUGAACUCGGAAAGAUCACACUACUCAGGCAUUGUGAAUGGGACAAUACAUGUCGUUGUUGGUGGAGGAGGGAGCCAUUUGUCGGAGUUCAGUUCGGUUAUCCCUAGUUGGAGUCUGUACCGGGAUUAUGAUUUUGGUUUUGUCAAAUUGACAGCAUUUAACCACUCGUCCCUUCUUUUCGAAUACAAGAAGAGCAGUGAUGGAAAGGUGUAUGAUUCUUUCACUAUCUCAAGAGACUACAAAGAUGUUUUAGCUUGUGUGCAUGACGGCUGUGAAGCAACCACUUUAGCAACUUGAACAACACAUAUUUACUGGAAGGAACCCAUUGAUAUUGUUCCAUAGGACAAUUUCUUGUUUUUUCGUGAAAUAAGGCAUUGUAGUGAUUAAGUUACAGAUUGUGGGAAAAAAAAAGACAUUAGACUAUAAUGUUAAGUUGCCAAAUGUUUAAUUGUGGGUUAAUUUCACAUUUGGUCACUAAAGUUUGGGUAAAAUUGCAAAUUGUUCCUUGAAAGUUUAUUUUGUCCACUAAAUAUGGUCUCUGAAAUUAGAGUAAUGCUAUGUAUCACCAAUGGUGAUCAACUCCACUCUAGGUGGCAGUGGAGUUCAUGUUCCACAACGAGUGAUUAAUGGUUUUUCGAAAGUUCUAAAAGGUGCAGGAUUCGGCAAGACGGCAACUUCAAGCCUCAAAUCUUACGGCUUUGUCUAGGACUCUAAACAAAACAAAGUCGCAAUAUGAUGUUUCUCCAUAUUUAUUAUUACUUUAAUUAUCCUUAGACCAUUAGUAAUGAUUCUUUUUGUCAAAUUAGUUUAUUUGACCUCAAAAAGAAUAAAAAAUUUUGGACAGAAUUUUUGUAAAAAAGAAAAAGAGAAAGGAGCUAGCUUUGUGGCGUUUAGGCUUGUGUUACACGGUUAAAAAUAGAGUUGAAUAUAUGUUUCACAAUUUAUAAAUUCGAAAGAUGCUUUGUGAAGUGCUAUGAAUACUUCAAAUAGGUACCAAGAUCUUACACCGAGAAGUGAAGAAUGUAUUUUAAAAUAAUCAAAAAUGAUGAUGCUAUGAUGGAAAUUAGAAGAUAAUAAGUUAGAUUAUUAAAUUCAUUUCUAACCGUCAUCUUUGGCUCUUUUUUAAGAAUCUCCUAUAAUAAUCAUCCACGCAUGAAAGAUAUCUACCAGAUCGUCACUUCAUAUACCAAACAUUUUUAUAUCGUUGCAUUUGAUAUUUUUCAUCCAGCAGAGUGAUGUAAUCAUUGUUUAAUGUUUUUCUCAAUCUACAAUGAGUUGCGAAGUUCGAAUAAAAACUUCGAAAUGGUACCAAGUUUCUAUUCUGAUGAAGCUUGGUAUAAUUCGAAAGAGGUGACGCCAAGUUAGAAUAAAAGAAAAAAAGUUGAAUUAAUAAAACAACUUCUGACAGUCAUCUUUGGCUCGUUAUUUUGAACUCAUUGUCUAAUGAUUCCUUAAUUCGAAAGAUGAAUUAUGAAGUCUGCCAUGGAUACUUCAUAACUAUACCAAGAACCUAACCACAAGUACAUAAUACAUCCUGAAAUAUGUGAUUAGCACAGUGGUAAUCACAUAUUGUACUCGACAUUCUAUCGACCUUGAGUCAGCUGCAAACGUGAGCUCACCUACUUCAUCAGCUAUAUGGAUCAAAGUAAAAAAUGUAACAUAUUUUAACAAUAGGGUUAAAAAAAAAAAUUAAUUAAGUAAAUUAUUUUUAAAUUUGAUCAAUAAAGAAUUAAUGACAUUACCAUCUUCCACAUGAAAAUGCCAAAAUGAAGAUGUGAUCUUUCCUUUGACUUCAAUCAUAGAGUUUAGUGGAGAUGCGUAGGGAAUAUAUUAUUAUUCCCUUAAUUUUAUAUUCCUAUUUAAUCACACGUUUAACUCAAUUAUUGAAAGCUAUAGUGCAAAAAUUAUUUAUGGGGUAGAUUUAUCUGAAAAGGAUAAGCUAAACCUUUUGUUUUGACUAACAAUGCAAUAUAAAUACAAGGGUAAAUUAUUUUUAUCAGGUAAAUUUAUCCAAGGUCGCCCAACUUUCAGCAAACUCACAAGUAAAUCACUAAAAUUAUAAUUUGUCUUGAUUGGAUUUUAAAAUUUCAAUUUGUUUCAAAAUUCACCACUUUGUCUCAUUCCCUUGCACCAAAUUAACAGAAAUUGCUUAGCGACAGUCAUAUCGUAACCGAUCUUCCACCGUAAAUGCAUUAAAAUGAAGGUUACAGCGAUUCUUUAGAUUUAAAGUUCAAUAGGUUGCUUUUUAUCUUAACAAUUUUAUGAUGUAGCAUAGUGGUAAGUUAGAAUGCCACGUAGCUUUUACAUGAAAGAUGUCUGAUACGAUAUAAAGUAAUUAAGUAAUUUUUAUCAACUUGAAAGACGAUGUUGACUGUAAAAUACUAAUUUCUCUCACCUGAUUAGGACUUUCGAUGUUGACUGUAAAAUACUAAUUUCUCUCACCUGAUUAGGACUUUUCCUCCUAACUCUCUGAUCUAAUAUUCAAAUAUGAGCAAUAAGAGAAAUGACUGUUCGGGAUGAAGUUACUAAAUUUUGCAUAUCUCAAUUGUCUCCUAGCCACCCUUAUUUAUAGACUUGUAAUGAGAUUUUGAAGGUUAUAGAGUCCUUUCUACUAACGACACAUGGUAGUUAAUCAUCAGUAGGACUAACGGUAGUUAUUUCUUUACGUUUUAUUCUAAUUUAGACCAUAUAUAUUUGAUAAAGUAUUUUGGCUCGCUUUUCAUAUUCGAGGUCACGUAUAAGACUUCACGCUAUUAAUGUUCACCAACUUACUUCUAAGUUCGCUCUGGAUUCCUUGUCAACAUUUAUUGACAACACAGAAUAUCACUUAAACACGAAGGCUCACUUACACUCGUGUACGAUUCCUUGUCCAUAUUUGUUGACGAUAGACAACAUGUGACAGAUUGGUGAAUUUUUAAACUUAAUUGAUGCUUAUUAGCACAAAUGAGACAAAUUAAGUUUAACAACUAUAUAUAUAUAUAUAUAUAUGAAAGUUCAGUAAUGGCAAAUGAAAUUUACCCGAUUCUUAUUUGGGUUUUGCUAUGUGUACGUCUGGGUAUAUAGUCUUCUCACAAUAGGAGGGUUCGUGAUUUUUUAUUGGGCGUGGCCCCCUAUUGUGGGGGCCUCCGGCAUACAAAUAGUAAAACCUUCUUGAUUCUUUGCAUUGGACCAACCAGACCAUAGGCCGCCUGCAUUUUACCCCUAAAAGUAGCUCUAGGUAAAUAUUUUUCUUCAUUUCUUCACCUUUCUGUGAAUUCACAGUUACUCAUAUUUAAAUAAUCGAUUGACUAAUCGGGAUUGAGCUAAUUUCUUGAUUUCAAUAUGCAAUCAUAAGCUAUAAACAAAUAUAUAAAACAAUUCGUCCAGCAAAGAAAGGGAAAUCUCCACUAAUAAAUAGAGGAAAAUCCUCUCUUGAAUCAUUACGUCCAAAGUAAAUACAACGAAAAACCUCUUAAUGGUGGUGGUGUUGAUUUUGGGUCUCUUAGUGAACUUCCACUGCACUGACGCUUUUGGUCAUUUGAGAAGUGUAGUUGGUAGUUCAGCUGGUGCGAUAGGAGAACAGCCUUUAUCAAAGAUUGCAAUCCAUAAAACCACACUUGCUCUUAGUGAUUUUGCCUCCAUUCAAGCCAGCCCUCUUCUUCUUGGACUCAAAGUAAGCAACUUUUUGUUAUUAAUCGAUAAAAGUAUCAUGACUUACUGCACUAGUGCAUUGCUUCUUGAAUUCAGUUAUAAUUUGAAAAUCUAUUUGCAAUUUUUGGUUACGGAUAACUAAAAGUUCCCACUGAGUUUUUGAAUUUGCAUUAUAGUUAGAGGCCAACGUUUUUGUUUGACAUGGUAACAGGGCGAAGACACUGCAUGGGUCGUUGUGGAUUUUGUAAAUGAAGAACCUUCUAAUGAUGACUGGAUUGGAGUUUUUUCUCCAGCAAAAUUCAAGUAAUCUCCUGUUACUCUUUUAUUAUAGCCUUCUGGCUAUUUCUAGUUUGUCCGUGUUAUAAUACUUACCCUUUGGCCUCGGUUUUUCGCGUAUUCUGUCCCUGCAAUCGGUUAAGAACCAUGAUCGUGCAUAUAUUAGUUGUGAAAUUUGAAUUCUUCGCAUUGUUUUACAUGGUUGAUUAAAAACUGUUGGGAAACUUGACAGUGCAUCGAAUUGUAUAGUGGAAAAUAACAGUGAAGUACAAGCUCCAUAUACAUGCUCUGCCCCAAUAAAGGUGUGUACAAAACAAGCCAUAAUACUAAAGAUUCAGAAAAUGUAACAUGUUUUUUGCUUUCUCUAACUGAUGUCUUGUAACGGGAUUCUUACAGUACAAGUAUGCAAAUCACUCGAAUCCUGAUUACACAACAACUAAGAACGCUUCAGUAAGGUUCCAGUUGAUCAAUCAGCGAGAAGAUUUCUCCUUUGCGUUGUUUGCAGGUGGAUUGUCAAAUGUAUGUAGUCAUUUUUUUCUGUUAUUCUCGAGUUCUUUUCACUUUUUGUUAGUAUUGCUUUGAUGAUAUAAAAAAUACAUCACAAUAACUGGAGAUAGAAAUGAUCAUUGCAGUUCAAAUUCAUUUUACCAUUAACUCCUUCGUCCAACUUAGCCAGAUUUAACUCGGACACAACAAACUAAAGAUAGCUUAUGUUCUCUUCGUAUUCAUGCUGAUAUAUUUUGCUUAUGUUUGUUUUUAUCCUGUUUCCUAAUUCCAUUGCAGCCAAAACUCAAAGCAAUAACAAAUUCCAUAGCUUUUGCAAAUCCUAAAGCGCCAGUUUACCCUCGUCUUGCUCAUGGGAAAUCUUGGAAUGAAGUAAGUUAUUCGGAUUGAUGUUAGUCAAUAAUUAUGUUUUAAUGUGUUAUUUCAUCCUGUAUAGCUCAAUCUUGACUUGAACAUGAAUCUUUGUUUGUUACCUUAGAUUUGCUUCUGUCUUAAAAGCUUUUGUUGGUCGAUUACAAAUUUUUUAAUCCUAAUUUGAUGUAAUUGCAUAUUUUGUCCUUCUAACACUUAGAGCAUGUUUGCUUGGAGAAUUGGAUAGUUUUGUUGAGAAACAAAAAAGGAAGCUAAAGUUUUGUUUAUUCUUCUGCCGAGCCAUAUCCAAUAUUGCACCCAAACAUGCCAUUAAUGUCUUAAAUAGACCUUACUCUCUUGCAGAACUGAACUAUUAAUUUUCUUUUUCUUCUUUUUUCACCUGAAUUACACUUUGCAGAUGACAGUAACAUGGACUAGUGGCUAUAAUAUAGAGGAAGCCAUUCCUUUCGUGGAAUGGGGUUGGAAGGGUAAAGAGCAAAAGCGCUCACCGGCUGGAACAUUAACAUUUGAGCAAAACAGCAUGUGCGGUAUGAUUUAACUUCUAUGACCAAGUUCUUGCUACCAUAUUGUGUUACAAAUUUAGACAAAAAAGGGAUUCUAUGAACUCGGAAUUGGUUAAAGGUAUAAAAAAUGGGUAAACAAGUUCAUAAGGCAUACUUUAACUACUCACAAGUUCUGGCUUAUGAGGGUAUUGUUUGGUUGCUCGACUGAUGAUACUUGUGAAGAAUUUUUCUUAUUAGAUUUUGUUGGAUUUAGAAGUUAUGUUUGUUGGAUAGGAAUAUAAAUUAUUGGAUCAAUAAAUACCUUAGCUUGAAAUAUUUUCUUUAUGGGAAUUAAGUUAGGUUUCAAUACAUAAUACACAAGGUUAACCUGAGUUUUUGGGGGCCUUAGACCAAUUUCAAAUAUGGGACCAUAUAUAUAUGUAAAAAUACAAGUAAAAUAAAAAAUAAUAAUUUUUUGGGGCCCUCACCGAAGUGCGGCCUUAAGCAAUCGCCUACCCCACUUAUAGUUAGGGCCGACACUGAUAAUACACCCAAAACUGCAAACGGAUAGACAUUUCCAAUUUCAUAGAAAGUUUUUUGUCCAAUUCUAUAUGAAGAUUUCAUACUUCAAAUAUCAUGGUCUUUUCUGUUGUUGGCUAUGUUUUCUCUCUGAAUCUACAGCAUUUUGUCUCUUAGUUUAAUGUUAAAGAACGAAUGUUAAUUAAAUCUAUAAGAUGGUCUCCUUUUCAUAUACAUUUAUUAAACAUAAAACAAUAUUGUUAACGGACUGCAUCUGAGAAGGAUCCUAAAAUUGGUUUGUAGGUCCACCUGCAAGUACAGUUGGCUGGCGUGAUCCUGGUUUCAUACAUAUGAGUCACUUAAAGGAUUUGUGGCCAAAUAUUAAGUAAGUUUCCUAAGGUUCGAUGUUUUAGAAAUACAUAAAUUUCUGUAAGCACCAAUUAUUUUGAAAUUCUUGACUGACGCUACCAUGAAUUUUUUUCCAGACAUACGUAUAGGUUGGGUCACCUGUUAACUAAUGGCUCCAUUGUUUUGGAGCAAGAUGUACUCGUUCAGAUCGUCUCCAUAUCCAGGACAAGACUCACUGCAACGUGUUAUAAUAUUUGGUGACAUGGGGAAGGUAUAUUGAGAAUUAAUUUGAAAAAAAAAAAAAAGCAUGCGUCUCUUAUAUUCCAACUGGAAAAAUUUAGAGAACUAAGAUAGAAAGAGUGUAUACCAUUCAAAGAAUUUGAAAAGAUUUGAAUCAAAUGAAAUGAUUAUGGAGUUGCUUGCGAGAAACCAGGUCUAAAUAUUUAUUUGAUAUCUUUAGCUGUCGUGUGAUUAUCAUGAACUAUACAUUUCCAUCAAAUCUUGGUAUCUAAUGCUGAGAACUCAUUGUUUGCUCAGAUCCUUAAUUUAGUGAGAUGAUUUUUCAGGCGGAACGUGAUGGUUCAAAUGAGUAUAGCGAUUAUCAACCUGGCUCUUUGAAUACCACUGAUCAACUCAUUAAGGAUCUCAAGAACUUUGACAUAGUUAUGCAUAUAGGAGAUCUCCCACAUGCAAAUGGCUACAUCUCACAAUGGGACCAAUUCACAGCUCAGGUGGAACCCAUAGCAUCAACUGUCCCUUAUAUGAUUGCAAGGUUUAUCUUUUAAUAGCACAUUAAUAGCAUUUUCUCUAUGCCAAAUAUUCAAAGUGUGUAAUAACAAUUCAUUAUACAGUGGCAAUCACGAGCGUGAUUGGCCUGGUUCAGGAUCCUUUUAUGACACUCCUGAUUCUGGUGGUGAAUGUGGUGUGCUAGCUGAGACCAUGUUCUACGUUCCCGCAGAAAAUAGAGCCAGGUUUUGGUAACUAAUAAUUUAUUUACCAAGCAAAAUACUAGAGUUUGGAAAAUGAUUACUUCUUGUUGGGGUUGCAUCUUGCACGUUAAUCACAUCCGAUGUCAAAAAAUGACUCGUAUACUUAUUUUACAGGUACUCAACAGAUUACGGUAUGUUCCACUUCUGCAUAGCCGAUACUGAGCAUGAUUGGAGAGAGGGGACUGAACAGUACAGGUUUAUCGAACGUUGCCUUGCGCAAGCAGACAGGCGAAAACAACCUUGGUUGAUCUUUGCUGCUCAUAGGGUCCUUGGUUAUUCUUCUAAUGAUUGGUACGGAUUGGAAGGUUCAUUUGAAGAGCCCAUGGAAAGGGAAAGCUUAGAAAAGCUUUGGCAAAAGUACAAGGUGGACAUUGCAUUCUUUGGCCAUGUCCACAAUUACGAAAGAAUUUGCCCAAUUUACCAGGUAAAUCCUUGUAGCAUGUUUAGAAUGCUAGGCUGGAUUGCACUAGAUAGAAUUAAUGACAAAAUAGAAGUUAAAUAUCUUCUAUUAUACUAUGCAAUACUGUUUUUUAAUGUGUCGUAACCCUGUGUCCAUAUGCUCUAGGAUUAUUUAUUUAUUUUUUCCUUUUCUGGUUAGGUUUGUGUCAAAUAUCUUUAUUUAAGAGGUAAGUUAGCUUCUAUAGACUGGAUCUUGAAUUUUGCCUCAUAUUCAAGCUUUGUUGAUCCUUUCGUGCAGAAUCAGUGUGUGAAUUCUGAAAUAUCACAUUACUCUGGCACUGUGAAUGGGACAAUACACGCUGUUGUUGGUGGAGGAGGGAGCCAUUUGUUAGAGUUUAGUCCCCUUGAAACUGCUUGGAGUCUCUAUAAGGAUUAUGAUUUUGGAUUUGUCAAAUUAACUGCAUUUAACCACUCGUCCCUUCUUUUUGAAUACAAGAAGAGUAGUGAUGGAAAGGUGUACGAUUCUUUCACUAUCUCAAGGGAUUACAAAGAUGUCUUAGCCUGUGUGCACGACAGCUGUGAAGCUACCACUUCAGCGACUUGACCCUUACAUGUUAUUGAAAGGAAGCCAUUGAUAAGAUGUUCGUCAGAACAGUUCUAGUUGGUAUAUUUGAGCAAUAAGGCAUCAUAGUAAUGUAGAGUAUGUCAAGUUGUGAUGUGUAUUCAUUUCAUUACGCCGUGUCAUCAAGUUUUCGUUUCUCUCAUACCAGUGAGAGUUUUCGAUUAUGACUAUUAAGUUUAGUUGUCAGAAGACAAUUUUGCUAUGCUCAAUCAUCAUGUAAUAUUAAUUGCGCUUGGUUUUGUUAUCAAGUUCUCAUCAUUCUCAGAUCAUGAGUAUGAAUAUUGUUGGAAGAACAAACCAAAUUAACCCUAUUAGCAUAUUUGGGUACUUUGAGUAGUUCAUGCAUUUCAACUUAUUAGAUAUAAUUAGUAAGAGAUUAAUGUCCAUGCUUUAUACAUCAAUCUGAUAGAUCCCAACUCACAUAAUAAAAUAACAAUGGCAGAAUAGGGAAAUGAAUGGGAUAGUUAGCAGCACAUGCAAGUAACAGAGGCAGCUGGAGAAUUAGUUAGAUAACCAUUAUAAAGAGUUCGGCAAACAGAGAGGAAAGGGAGCAGAAAUUGAGUAUAGACUUGGGGUGAGAAUUGGGUCUCUCGAAAAACCAAAUACCUUUUAGUUCUUGUUAUUAAUUACAGAGCAAUAUAGUUAUACAGUGUUAUUGAAUUGCUGUAUUACAAUUUUCAUUUACCAAUUGCUGUCAACAUAAAUAAAUCUAUGUACAUUCCGUUGAAUUCUUCUUGAAUUGAAUCUUCUUCCGUAUUGUUUCUUUGAUUCUGUGUUGAGCUGCCAUAGGAACAGGAACUUAUCAAGUGGUAUUAGAGUGGUCGAUUUUUGGACAAAUGGAAACUAAUUACGACGGUGAAUUGGAAUAGAGAUGGGGCUUGCUAUUGAAUCGGUUUGAGAAGAUGAUAAGGCAACGUAAUGAAGAAAGUUGAGACGAUGAGUCGGAGCUGGAUGCACGAGGUCGACUCAUAAUAUCCAUGUUCUAUGGGGACAAUAUAGAGUGGUGGUUGUCUAGGGCUGAGGAGAUUUUCCAUAAAAAUCAGUUAUCGGAAGUAGAGAAAAUAGAAGCUGCUACAGUGAGCUUUGAUGGAGAAGCAUCAAGCAUGGGAUUGGUUUCAAUGGCUAGAUCGUCGCCGACCCGUGAAAACUUGGAGAUAAUUGAAAGAGGGGAUGAUAGGCAGAUAUCGGCCAUCUGUAGAAGAGAACUCACCGGAGCAUACCUUUACUUCUGAGAUUCCAACUGAGGUCGAUAUAGGUAAUUUAGUUCUUCCAGUAGCAUUCAGAUCUACAUACAAUCAAUACCAACAGAUUAGUUGCGUCCACCCCUCAGCAGCAGAGAAGAGGCAAUCUUCAGUAGCAAUAUCAUUUGAGUUUCCAUUCGAAGAAUUAGGAGCCACGUUGGGAACAGUACGUAUGGAAGACAUGAGUCGCAGUGGGAAGCCAGGGCGAGCAAAACAUUCGAUGGAAAAAGGUAGGACGGCGGCGGAAACCAAAUCGAAGGCCCACAAAAAUUAGAGUAAUUCGAAGUUAGUCAGAAUCACAGGGUUCAUCGAAAGCUGUUCGAAAAUUUUGUCGCCUCUUUACAGACAUCGUCAGAGAAAUUUUAGAGUAAUAAAUUGGUGGAUAAUUCUAAGUGUACAUAAUUUGGUUUACCUACUCUCACAAACACGUGGACCCUGUGUAAAUAAAAUAAUCCCAACAUGUGGACCCCACAGGGGCGGAGCCACUAUAUGUCCAGUGCGAACAGAUGCCCGCACUGGACUUUUGGGCCCAAAAAUAAAUUUUUGUUUGUUUGUUUGUUUGUUUAACCUAGUAACCCAAUUCUCUAUCUAGCCCAGAGAGAGAAAUCCAAUUGUGCAAUGCCAUGAUUUAUUUUAGACCCAUUCAUAUCAAAAUUCAAUUGAAUCAAUUGUUGAUCCAAACCCAUUCAUUCAUUUCAAAAUUUCUACCCUUCGUGACUUUGUCUAUGACGACUUUGCACUUCGCCACCCACUUCCCUCUCCACCCGUGACAAAGCCCGCCGUUCCCUUCCCUCUCAGUCAAUCGUUGUCUUCGACAGUCGUCACAGUAUUACCGUCGUUCCCUUUCCCUCUCUGACAGUCCAUUAUUGAAUAUCUCCUACUCUAGGCUCUCAUCUUGACAUCUCACAUCUCCGACUCCGACUCUACAUCCUCAUCUCCGCCAAGGCGCUAAGUGCCAACGCCAACCAGCUGAGCCAGCAAAAGAAGAAGCGAGAUUCUAGAAAGCAAAAGGCGAAGCCCCAAAUUUUUUUCCCUUAUUUUUUUUGUUAUUUCAAUUUGUGUAAAUUGUAAUAAUAUUUAUUUUUUUCUUUUUCUUUUUUUUUUAACAUAAGAAAUUAGCACUUUGUUCUUUAAUUGCUCGAAGCGGCACAAACUUCCAGUGUACCGCCAGUUCAUUGUUGCCUCUGGGCUCUGGCUCUCUGGGAAUUUGUGAUUGCAAGUUCAAGUUUCCUAGUAUUUGGAAAUAGUAUAUAUUGCAUUGUGAAAUUGUGAAUUGGAGUAUUGAACUGUGAAUGGAUUAAGUAAAAUUGUGAAUUGCACUAGACAAAUGGUAUAUAUAGGUAUUGGCGUAUUGCAUUGUGAAUUGAUUAUGUGAAAUUGUAAAUUGCAUUGAGUUUUGUGAGUUGCUUCCAAUAUUUGUGAUUCAUUUGACAUCUUGAAUUACUCCCACUCCUAGUAGUAAUUUGGUGAUCAGUGGAUGAAUGAUAGCACAAUUGUUUAUGUGAGAAAGAUAUAUUUUUGAGGCUCGAUAAUGAAGUUAUUGUACAAUGAUAUCAAAGAAUGAAAACUCGCAAAGAACAAGUGUAAUAUAUAAAUUAUGUAGCUUUUGUAUUGAUGUACUAUUGUUUUAUUUUUUUAUCGUCAUUAAAUCCAUGACCAAAAUCUUGACAUUCGUCGUCAAAAAUUUUUUGCCCGCACUCAACUAUAAUCCUGGCCCGCCCCUGGCACCCCUAUUGUGAGUGAACGUAAAGCAUUAGGUAAAAAAAAAAUAGGUAUAUCUAGCAUAGUCCUAAAUUGGUUAGUUGAUGACAGAAGGCCAUAGCCUUGAGAUUUGGGCCAUUUUGAAGAAACAAAUCCACAGAUUGAAGAAACAAAUUCAGUGGUCCAAUAUACAAGGACAGGAUCCAACCCAGUGAAAAGAAAAAUCACUUUAGCCGUUGUUGAUUCCCAGUUUGGGGAAAAUAAUGUAUUUUGAAUAGUAAAUUAAUGAAGAAUGUAUGGUUAAAAUUCAAAGAAAGUUUUGAAUUUACGUGUAACAUUAUUCUAUUGAAAAAUAUAUGGUUGAAAAUGAAUUUUUACAAGAAUGGGAAUCAAACAAGGCAUAAGUAAUACCCAACCCACUAAUAGCAUUCCCGUAUAUUCACGAUUUAGCUUCAAUCCAACCCCUUUUUUUCAUCAGAGUCAGGACGAGGCACUGUCUCUUCCUGCCAAGCCCAAUCAUUGCUCAACAAAAUAAAAAUUUUGGGCAUUUGCUAGUUUUAAUUUUAACUCUGUAGUCUUUACCAGCACAAACGACGUUAAUUUACUGUAUUUCAAACAUGCAUCUAUUUCCAAGCAGAAAAGCCACAAAAUCAAGGACUCUGGACAAGGUGGAUCACAGCAACAUAACAAAUGCAUACACAUAAAUGAUUUGCAAAUAAGAAACAGAAAAAAAAAAUUGUAGUAGUUAAAAAAUGGGACCAAUAAAGCCUAGGGAAGCAAGUGAAUGGCGGCAACAACUUACGUACAAGGUGCGUGCAGGCGUCAAUAACUCUGGAAUGAGGAUGCAAACCGGGGAGGGAGGGGGGGAGGGGAAGCAGUUGAGUUGAAAGCGUACCAUGGUUUCCAGAUAAUAACCAAAACCGCCAACGUCGUAGGUCAUUUUCGUUUGCUGCAGAUCGGAGCCUUAGAAAUUUGUUGCGCAAGUGGACUGUGAAGUCCAGCCCGGAUGUGAUGCGUCGUCGGGGGAAGAUGAUAAGGACGCCGAGCGUGGCCUUGCACAGGGGUCGACCGGCACCGUUCGGCUGAGCAAAGUUUUCACCGGCAAUAUGCAGAUGCGGUUCUCUUCGCCACAGUGUAGUGCACUGAUUCGAUGGAGAUGGAAGGCAAUGGGGUUUGGGUUUUUGCAGGGAAGGAGGCUGGUAUGUUAUUAUUGAAGGGCAAAUGUGUAAAAUGAAAUAGGAAAUAAGGGGUGUUGGUGUCAAUUUGGUCUAUAUGUUGUGCGUGCAAUUAAUAAUUCAACCAUGUGCCUGCUGAGUUUGUCAGAAGUUAGAAUCAGAUAAAUGUGACUUGGUGGUCAAAAAGUUUGAAAAAAUAAAUGAACCAAAAAUGUAAUGGGGCUCAGACAGAGGUUUUAUAUCUCAGUAGUAACAAAUUAUUAUAAUAGAAAGUCAAAAUUUUAAGAUCUUAACAAUAUCAAUUAAGAACAAUGUGAAAUUUUAUCUAAUUAUUAAGGUCCUCAAAUUUAAUAAUUACCUAUGAGGUUCCUAUAUUAAAGGUUCAAAACCUUAUUUCCCAUCAAUUGGUUUCAGCAAUCAACUCCAUUAAUACAUUUGAUUUUACAAUAUCCAAUUUUUAUGCAUUUCCAAAUAUUUAAAACAUUUCAGAAUUGGCAAUCAUGCAAAACCUUUUUAAAGAUGAAUUGUAUAUUUAAAUAAUUAUGUCAAUGCAUUGAAAAUAUUAAAAUAUAACUUCUCUUUACUAAUAUUCAAAAAAUACAUCAAGAUAUGUAACUUUCAUAGAAAAAUAUUCAACGUCACCAAAUUAAAUAGGAUAAUGUAAGACAAGUAGUCCUCAAAAAAUUUCACCUGUUAAUUUUUUUUUGUAAAAUAUGCAAUUGUUAGAGUUUUUGGUGUGGGGGGGGGGGGGAAUAGCAAUUAUCAUGGCCAAUAAAUAAAAUACAUCAGUUACAAAGGUCAUCAAUAAAUUAUACAGUUUAAGAACUGAUUACAACCAUUGUAAUACGAGAACAUUGAAGUUUCCUAUUCUCUACUAAAGCCAAAACAUAAAAUAUAAAAUAAGGGCAUAAUUAUUACUAACGAAAUACCAGGGUAAACCAGCCUGUUACCGUUAAGCAGAAAAUAAAGAUUGGUUUUCUCACUUUUUAAGGUUUACCCUAAACCCAAAAAAAUAAAAUAAAAUAACAACAACAACAACAACAAUAAUAACUGAGAGAAAAAGUUAAUUUACACAAAAAUCACAUUACACAAACUUGUGUACGUCAACAGUGCAUUGAUUGUUUUUUCAACUCCCCCCAUCACCCCAACAACACCCGACCCCCUUUGUGUAUAAAUGAUUUUUCUUAUUUUUGUCUUAAUUUUUGACAUUAUAAUGGGAUGUCAAACAAAGUUGAAAUAUUGCAUUUUUAUUAUCAUUUCGAAGUACUCACGACCUACUUUUUACGCGUUAUUAACAGCGUACAAAAUGGUCAACCAUAACAACAGUUACGACACGUCAAAUUAUGUUGUUCUAAACUACUAUUUUGAAAAUUUCGAUAAUAUGCUAACUUUAAAAUUCGCUGACGACUGUACACUGGUCGAAUCUAGAAAUCAUCUACGUCAUCUUGAAGUUAGUUCCAAGAAUUAUAUAACAUAUCGAAUAAUUCAAAUGGAUUAGUUCCGAGAAUUAUAUAACAUAUCGAAUAAUUCAAAUGGACAUCGUUUGAACAUAAAAAAUAAUUAAACGAGCGUAUUCUUUAAGAAUUUUCAAUUAUUUCAUUAACGUUUAUUAUUUUUGCGCGACAUAUUUCUCAAUGUAAUAUAUAUCAUUUUAUUAGGAUAUUUUUACAUGGGGUAUGAUAUAAAAAAUUUAUGGAUCGUUGGACAAAAUUUAAUAAAUUAAUAUUGAAUAAUGUUCAAGUUCAAAUUAUUUUUUUCUUUUUAAUACACAUUUUUUUUUUUAUUAAUUUGUUUAUUCAUCCUUUACAUACCUAACAUAAGGAUACCGUUUGGACAUCGAAAUUAAUCCUUAUUUAAUGUGGAUUAAAAAUAUGUUCAAAUGAUGUCCAAACAAAAUAACAUAAAGGGACAUCGUUUGGACCUCAAAAAUAAUCCUUUAAAGCUCUUCUUGAAAUGAAAGAAUGUGGAUUAAAAAGGAAAAAAAAAAUGUAUAACGACAGAAAGAAGGAAAGAUCCUACCCCCCCAUCUCUUUAUCCAGAAAGGUGUAACUAACGAAAAUUUGUGUAACGACCCGAAGAGCUUUAUGAUAGGUAUUUAAAGGAUGAAAUAACACAUUUAUAAAAAAAAAAAUGGAUUAAAAAGAAAAAAUAUAAUUCGAAGUUUAUUAUAUUUUGUGUAACAAUCUGAAAUUUUUGACAUCAUAUUCCAUGUAAAAGUAUUCUAACUAAAUGAUAUAAAUUAUAUAGAAAAAGUUGUCGCAUAAAAAUAAUAAAUGUUAAUGAAAUAAUUGAAAUUUUUUUAAAGAAAAGAUGAGUUAGACGUCUCUUAUUUGGAUAUUCAAAUGAUCUCCAUUUGGAUUACUUGAUAUUUAUCAUAUAAUUUUCAAAACGAGAUUCAAGAUGAUAUAGACGAUUUAUGAAUUCGACUAGCAUUCAAUUACCAAGAAAUUUUCGAAGUUAACAUAUUAUUGAAAUUAUCGAAACAUUAGUUAGAAACUACCUACUUUGAUGUGUCAUAGCUAUUGCUACUAUUGGCAGUUUUGUAGAUCGUUAAUGAUGCAGGAAAUUAGAUCGUAAGUACUUCAAAAUGAUAAUAAUAAUGCAAUAUUUCGACUUCGUUUGACAUUCUAUAAUAAUCUCGAAAAUUAAGACAAAAAUAAGAAAAUAAUUUAUAUAUAGGGGGAGGUGUGUUGGGAAGAAGCCGAAUAAACAAUAAAUGCAUCGUUGAUAUGGCAACAUCACAUCAACGGACUAUUCUCCUGCCCAACAAGUCUGUACAACAAUAUCAAUUCGCGUUACAUAGCAUUACUCUUCUUAGCAAAGUACCCUUACUUUUUCUCUCUCUUAGAGGUGAGGUGAAAAGAAAAAAGAAAAAAAUAAAUAAAUUAACAAUUGACUGUCAAUUUUGGAAUUAGGUCUAUGUGUAACACACUAACUAGAGUAUGUUCUAAACUCAGACGCCAAAUUUGGUCCGAUUAUAUUCAAAUAUGGGUGUCCCCCCGGUACUUUAAUUCUAACAUGUUAAACUAAUUAACGAUGUUAAGCUUCUGUUUGGUUUAGUUAAAAUUUAAAUUUUUAGCAAAUUUUGAUAAAAGUUGACGAAAUAUAUGAUUAAAAAAAUUAAUAAAAAUUAUGGAUCUCGUGAAAAAUUAUAGGUCUCAUGAAAGUGUGAUUGAAAAUAAAUUUGAGGAAAAAUGAAUUUUAGAAAGUGGGGCCAAAGAUGAGCCAAUUUCUUACAUCCAAUUCAUAUUUUAAAAUAUAUUAGCUUGAAUAAAUAUCAUUAUAAAUAAAAUAAUCUUUUGUGGUAAAAUAAUGAGAUGAUUAUUUAGUAUUAUCAUGAUACAUAGAUAAGUCUUAUCUAGUAUAUAAAAUAUAUUACAUUCCAAUUGUAACUCUUACUUUAAAUUGUAUAAAUAUAUGACAUUGAUUUUUAAUACUACGUAAAAGGUUAUUGAUUUCUCUCAUUUGUUCUCUCUUUCUUUCUCUAAUUGAGAACAUUUUAUUAGCAUGAAUAUCUAAAAAUUGAAAUCAAUUAGUUAGAAGUUAGUCUAUACAUAAUCUCUUACUAUUCACAAAUGCAAUAUUCUAGACACUUUUUCUAGCCUUUAAUUCUAUAAUAUGUCGCUGUACAUAAUUUGGCCUUUCUUAUUAGACUAUCAAAUUUCCCUAUUACCAUGUACACAUAUUCUUAUGCCAUCAUCAGCUUUUAUCCAUAUGUUGAGUUUUAUUUUUGCAUCAAUUAUGCCGUUCUUAUCUCCAACCACAAAUGUCACUGUAUGUUCUUUUCUCUUUCAUGCCAUAUUGUAGAGAUGAGCAUGUCUGUUUUUAUAUGAAUUAUGAAUAUAAUAUUAUAAUUUAUACUUACUGUUGAACACAAUUGGAUUUAUUUGAUAUGGUAAAAUAGAUCUGUUAAUUUUUACACUUAACUUGAAAAAUGGUAAUUUCAUAAAUAAUUUGAAAAAAUAUAUUUUGUUGUUGCGCUUGAAGUAGCACAGUAAUGUAAUUAAUAUUCCGAAAAAAAUAUUAUUUGCUCAUGAAGAGCAUGAAUUAUAAUUUUUAAUAUUCCGAAAAAAAAUUGAUAUGUUGCUCUUGAAGAAGCACAUCUUCUCAAAUAUUAAUAUUCAACUAGAAAACAUAAUUUUGAAGAGUUAAUGUUUUAUUGUCGGUGCUCCUAAAAUAGUACAACAUUGUUAAUAUUGUAAAAGAAUAUUAUUGCAUGUCUAUCCCUUAAGGAAAACAUUUAAUUAAUGUCAUCCGGGCAUUGAUUAGUUUCAUUAGUUGAAUGAUAUAUGAUUAUGUAAGAUUUAAUCAUAUUUUUUGAAAUCAAAUAAUUGAAUUAUACUUAUGUUAAAUUGGAAGGUCAAUUUUUAUUUUAUUGUUUGGCACUACCAAUUAGAUAAUCAUCGGAUCAACGUGAUGUGGAAUUGAGAAUCCAAUGGACAGUCAACAAAGAACAUGAAGAUUCUUCGACCUAAUGAAUUCAUAUAUGUUAUUUGUUCUCUUUAUCGAAAUUUAUCAUUAAUCAUCACUAGCUAAAAUAGGGAUCGAAUUUUUUAUGUUUUUGAAAAUUAAUUAGGAUGAUAAAUGUGACAUCAUCAUCCUCCAUGUUGACCAUCUACAUAUUAUAUGUAUCUAAUAUAUUUGAUAUAAAUACUAGAUGAUUGCAUGGUGUUAGCAGCUUGAAAUUUGCGAAACUACUGCUCAAAUAAUAAGCAUAAUUUUUCGAUUAUAAAAUCUAGACGGUGUGUCUUGUUAAUGCUAGUAAAUUUAAAAUCUCAAGUUUUUAAUCAUUGUUAGUUCAUAUAUCAAUAAAUGAUUUAAUAUUAUUGUUUGUUAACGACUCCAAUUAAUUGAGAACGAAGUUAUUCCCAUUUUUUAUUUAGGUAAUGUUAUUAUGCAGCAUUCCAAUAUUGUAGUUUUCCCAGUUAUAAUUAGCUCAUGAUCAAUGCCUUAUUUUUUUCAUCAUACUAUUUGAUAGUGCAGUAUAUGUAAAAUUGCUACACUAUAAUGUAUUGGGAUGGAAAGUAAAUAAUGCUGAGAAUAAAUGAGUAGUUUGGAUACAUAUAUAAUAUCUCAAACCUUAAUGAGUGUUAUUUCAUAAAUCGGUUUACUGCUUAUCAAUUUAAUUGCACAAUUCUUUUAGUGUUAGGGGAAGAAAUUAAAAAGUCGGAAAUAAUACUCAAAUACAUCAUUAUUUAAAUCAUCGCAAAAGACAAUUCGAAACACAAGUUCGAGAGAUAAUUUAUUUUGAUAUAUUUACUCGCCAAAUAAAUCAACAAUAUCAUACACUAGCUUUAAAUGAUCCAUUUUGAAUUGAUUCAUGGAAUAACAACUAGUUAAUAUUAUUUGAUAAAUUCAUGACACUCUUGAAGUGUGAUAUAUUCGAUUCCAAUGUGAAAAUCUCAAAAUAAAAAUUGACUAAUUAGUAAAGAUUGUCUCAUUAAAGAGGCAUACUUUUGGUGUGAUGAAUGUCCGUAACAUACAAGAUAUUUACCUUCAAAAUAAUAUUUUGAUAUAUAUGAGACUCUUGAAGAAAUUAAUAAGAAAUAUUUUUCGAAUCAUCAUGUUAUUACAGUCAUCAAAGAUUGAUAAAAUAUAUCUUAUGAAGAUGGUGUUACUUGAUGAUUGUACAGGACAACAUGAUACAUAUUUCACCAAAAAUUGUAAUAUUGAAGACCAAACGUACAAGACAUGGAUCAACUGACACAAGAAUUUUCAUUUAUUGAAAUCAGGGGGAGUAGUUGUACUAUUUUUUCCUUCAAUCAGAAUUUGUCUCACUGAAUUUUUUCGAUAAGGUUUUUAGGAAAUAGCAUUUUAUUACUCCAAAUUAUUCUCUUUUUUAUUAUUUGUAUUUUUGUCCAAUCAAUUUUUUUGUCAAACAAUGUUUCAAAUGGUACAGUUAUUGUGCAAAUAAUCAUCAAAGGGGAGUGUUGUAAAAUAAUGAGAUAGUUAUUAAUGAUUAUUUAGUAUUAUCAUGAUAAAUAGAUAAGUUUUAUCUAUUCUAGAAUAUUUAUUUUAUUCCAAUUAUAAAUCUUAUUUUGGACAGUAUAAAUAUAAGGCAUUGUUUCUAAAUAAUACAUACAAAUUUAUUAAUUUAUCUCUUUUGUUCUCUCUAAUUUAGAACAUCAUUGAAUUUCAUAAUAAAAGUAAUAUUCUAACUGAACUCAAGUAUUUGAUGAAAAGAAUUGGACAUUUUAAGAGCUUGAUGAGGAUUUGUACGAUAAUGCGAAAAUGCUUUCCUUAUGUACGAAAAUUGGAUUAACUGUAUAGAGUACAAUAAUGCAAAAAUGCUUUCCUUGAGACAUUACAUGGUGUUUGAUGGAUAUUAAAAUUAGAUUUUUAGUAGAUCUUUAUAAAAAAAAAAAAUUUGAAAUACAUGUUUGAAAAGUUGUGGAACCCAUGAAAAUGUGAUUAAUAUUAAUUAUUUGAUUUUGACUGAAAUUAAAAUUUAUUAAAAUCUGAGUCAAUCAAGAGCUGUGUCUUCGUCAAUACCGUGACGCACUCAAGUACGAAAAUACGUUUUUAGAUUCAAUAAAACAUUGAGGCCCCGUUUGAUAUUCAUUUUUUUAAAAAUAAGAAUGAAAAAUAUAGUAGUUACGGGAUCUGUACAAGAUAUAUAAAGUCAAAUAUAGUGGCUUGAUGUGAUGAAUAACGAUCAUAUUUUUCAUUUUUGUGGUCAAAAAAUGAAAAUCAAACGGAAGCUUAAUCUCGUCCAUGCGUACAAACUUAGAUAACCCAAAUACUGAAGUUUUUUAUUAUUAGAGAGAUGCGUAGGGAAUAUAUUAUUAUUCUUUGCUUUAGUUUUAUAUAACUCUAUUUAAUGACACCCUCGGCUGCUGCGAAUAGCAAUUUAAAAUUUAGCCCUUUACACACUAAUUGAAAGUUGUAAAGUUCAAAAAUAGGUUAAAUUUCAUCUGAGUACAUUGAACUUUCAGAAAAGUCACAAUUGAAUCAUUAAACUUUAAUUUGUUUGAAUUGAGUCAUUGAACUCUAACUUUGUUUCAAAAUCCACCACUUUGUCACAUUUCGUUACCUUUUUGUCUCCUAAACUAACAUAAAUUGCUUAGUGGAUAAAUCGAUCUUCCUUAAACAUUACAUUGCACUUUGAAACAAAAUGGCAAAACAUGAGUUAUGAUUAUAUCUUUUAGUUAAAAGAUUAAAGGAUGCAUUUUUUUAAUUUUUAUAUUAUGAAUUAAUCUAUGUGUACAAUGUUUUUGUACAACAUUGUCAACAAUGUUGUUUGUGGCAAAAAAUUGUUAGCUGAAAAGAUAAAAUUAUUUUUUUAAUUGUUCAAUAACAACAUAUCAAGUGGCGUGUUGUUGUCAAAAUAAUUGUGCAUCAAGCAUUGUUCUUAUAUUAUAGUGUUGUGUUGAUGCGAUACAACAAUUAUGUGAAAGAUCUGCUAAAUAACUAUCAAUUAAACAAUUUUAACAAUUUGAGAGACUAAAAUAUGACGAGUGAUGCAAUUUGAAGCUAAAUUAAAGUUUAGUUACACAAUUGAAAUAAAAUUGAAGUUCACUUGUCCAAUUGAGAAAAAUUAAAAUUUGAUGUCAAUAUAGAUUUUUUUUUAAAUUCAGUGACCUCUGAUGAAAUUUGCCCAAUUUUUAUUCCUUGCAUUGGAAUAUCCAGAACGGAGGCCGGUUCCGCCUGAACUUCUACGUCUUUCUCUGAAGUCAAACUGUUCUAGAUUUCAAUAUCCAAUCUGUAAAAACAGAUACAUAAAUCAAAAUUUCCUGCAAACAACGGGAAUUUCCAUUAAUAAAGAUUCACAAUAAUUCUCUUAGUCGCUUGAAUCAGUACCUCCAAUAAUCAAACAAUGAAGCACGUGUUUUUGAUUUUGGGUCUCUUAGUGAUCUUCCAUGGCGCUGCUGCUUUUGGUCAUUUGAAUAGUGUAGUUGGUAGUUCAGCUGGUGCUAU
RNAcentral lists this long non-coding RNA (25834 nucleotides) under Olea europaea (common olive). Its description in RNAcentral is "long non-coding RNA (OEUR_LNC013735)". The record is from RNAcentral. Lineage: Eukaryota; Viridiplantae; Streptophyta; Magnoliopsida; Lamiales; Oleaceae.